GUCGAACGGGAUUAUUUUUGUAGCAAUACAGAAAUAAUUCAGUGGCGAACGGGUGCGUAACACGUGGGCAAUCUGCCGAAAAGUGGGGGAUAGCUCGCCGAAAGGCGAAUUAAUACCGCAUGUGGUGAGGGACGACAUCUUCCUGAAUCCAAAGCCGGGGCAACCUGGCGCUUUUUGAGGAGCCCGCGGCCUAUCAGCUAGUUGGUGAGGUAACGGCCCACCAAGGCUUUGACGGGUAGCUGGUCUGAGAGGACGACCAGUCACACUGGAACUGAGACACGGUCCAGACACCUACGGGUGGCAGCAGUCGAGAAUUUUUCUCAAUGGGGGCAACCCUGAAGGAGCGACGCCGCGUGGAGGAUGAAGGCUUUCGGGUUGUAAACUCCUGUCAUUUGAGAACGAGUGCCAACAAGUAACUACUGUUGGCUUGAUAGUAUCAGAAGAGGAAGGGACGGCUAACUCUGCGCCAGCAGCCGCGGUAAUACAGAGGUCCCAAGCGUUGUUCGGAUUCAUUGGGCGUAAAGGGUGCGUAGGUGGCGCCGUAAGUCGGGUGUGAAAUUUCGGAGCUUAACUCCGAAACUGCAUUCGAUACUGCGGUGCUUGAGGACUGGAGAGGAGACUGGAAUUCAUGGUGUAGCAGUGAAAUGCGUAGAGAUCAUGAGGAAGACCAGUGGCGAAGGCGGGUCUCUGGACAGUUCCUGACACUGAGGCACGAAGGCCAGGGGAGCAAACGGGAUUAGAUACCCCGGUAGUCCUGGCAGUAAACGGUGCACGUUUGGUGUGGGAGGAUUCGACCCCUUUCCGCGCCGGA
RNAcentral lists this ribosomal RNA (811 nucleotides) under uncultured microorganism. RNAcentral's name for it is "bacterial SSU rRNA". It matches the Rfam family "Bacterial small subunit ribosomal RNA", at positions 61 to 850 of the family's 1533-position model. The record is from RNAcentral.